Molecule: RNA transcript, 844 nt
Organism: Caretta caretta (loggerhead turtle)
Lineage: Eukaryota; Metazoa; Chordata; Testudines; Cheloniidae
Gene: DPCD
Gene name: deleted in primary ciliary dyskinesia homolog (mouse)
Source: RefSeq, a predicted model, not a curated record
UCGCGCGCCCGGCGCUUCCGGGUCCGGCGGAAGCGUGCCGGUUGCCAUGGGGACGCGGCCUAGCCGCCAUGGCGGGGCCGAGCUGGCUGGAGCGGCUGCGCGGGGCCCGCAAGACCGCGCUGCUGCAAGACGGGAAGAGGAAGGUCCAUUACCUGUUUGAGGAUGGGCUGGAGAUGGCUGAGGAGUACGACCUGAAGACCAGCCAGCUGCUGGCUAGAAAGUGGCGAGAGAAGAAUGCUCUGGGGAGCUGCGGCAAGUGGCAGGUUGAGGUGGGAGAGCCGACCAUGUACCCAGGGGGGGCGCUGGAAUCGGAGCUCAUAAAGGAAAGCAGCUCCAGUCCCAUCUUCAUGAGGAGGGACACUCAGACCAGUUUCCAGUGGCGGAUCCGGAACCUACCCUACCCCAAAGAGGUCUACAGCGUCUCUGUGGAGAAGGAUCAGCGCUGCUGUGUUGUCCGUACCACCAACAAGAAGUCAGACUUGGAAAAUAAACUAGCUGCACUUGGGGCAGAGGUAGAGAGACGCCGGGCUUCAUGCAAAGCCAGCUUAAUGGAGGUAUUACAAGAAGUUCCCCAUUCCUGACCUGGACAGAUUCCAGCUUCCCCUGGACGCGGCUGCCCUGAGCUUCACUUAUGCCAAUGCCACCCUGAUUAUCACGUACCGGAAGCCCCAGGAGAUCCUGGCUGCGGAAGAAGAGCUGCAGAAGGAGCUGAAGAAGAUCAAGGCAGCUAACGAUGGGGACGGGGAGUGCAAGACACAGUAGGCGAUGGCUGCGGAGGGGUUGGGGCAGAACCGUGCACUAUUUAUUUUGCUGCUUUUUCUAGUAAAAUGAUUUCCACAGGGAA